Molecule: ribosomal RNA, 856 nt
Filed under: Fusarium oxysporum f. sp. crotalariae
Lineage: Eukaryota; Fungi; Ascomycota; Sordariomycetes; Hypocreales; Nectriaceae
Description: LSU rRNA
Rfam family: Eukaryotic large subunit ribosomal RNA
Source: RNAcentral
UAACGGCGCAGUGAAAGCGGCAACAGCUCAAAUUUGAAAUCUGGCUCUCGGGCCCGAGUUGUAAUUUGUAGAGGAUACUUUUGAUGCGGUGCCUUCCGAGUUCCCUGGAACGGGACGCCAUAGAGGGUGAGAGCCCCGUCUGGUUGGAUGCCAAAUCUCUGUAAAGUUCCUUCGACGAGUCGAGUAGUUUGGGAAUGCUGCUCUAAAUGGGAGGUAUAUGUCUUCUAAAGCUAAAUACCGGCCAGAGACCGAUAGCGCACAAGUAGAGUGAUCGAAAGAUGAAAAGCACUUUGAAAAGAGAGUUAAAAAGUACGUGAAAUUGUUGAAAGGGAAGCGUUUAUGACCAGACUUGGGCUUGGUUGAUCAUCUGGGGUUCUCCCCAGUGCACUCUUCCAGUCCAGGCCAGCAUCAGUUUUCCCCGGGGGAUAAAGACUUCGGGAAUGUGGCUCUCUUCGGGGAGUGUUAUAGCCCGUUGUGUAAUACCCUGGGGGGGACUGAGGUUCGCGCAUCUGCAAGGAUGCUGGCGUAAUGGUCAUCAACGACCCGUCUUGAAACACGGACCAAGGAGUCGUCUUCGUAUGCGAGUGUUCGGGUGUCAAACCCCUACGCGUAAUGAAAGUGAACGCAGGUGAGAGCUUCGGCGCAUCAUCGACCGAUCCUGAUGUUCUCGGAUGGAUUUGAGUAAGAGCAUACGGGGCCGGACCCGAAAGAAGGUGAACUAUGCCUGUAUAGGGUGAAGCCAGAGGAAACUCUGGUGGAGGCUCGCAGCGGUUCUGACGUGCAAAUCGAUCGUCAAAUAUGGGCAUGGGGGCGAAAGACUAAUCGAACCUUCUAGUAGCUGGUUUCCGCCGAAGUU